ACGGCUCAGUAACACGUGGACAACCUACCCAAGAGUCAGGGAUAACCCCGGGAAACUGGGGAUAAUACCUGAUAGGCCACGACAUCUGGAAUGAGUCGUGGUUUAAACGUAAGGCUCUUGGAUGGGUCUGCGGCGGAUUAGGUUGUUGCCGGUGUAACGUACCAGCAAGCCUGUAAUCCGUACGGGUUGUGGAAGCAAGAGCCCGGAGAUGGAUUCUGAGACACGAAUCCAGGCCCUACGGGGCGCAGCAGGCGCGAAAACUCUACAAUGCAGGCAACUGCGAUAGGGGAACAUCGAGUGGCACCCACCAUGGGUGUCUGUCCAGCCGUCUAAAAAACGGCUGUUAGCAAGGGCCGGGCAAGACCGGUGCCAGCCGCCGCGGUAAUACCGGCGGCUCGAGUGGUGGCCGAUAUUAUUGAGUCUAAAGGGUCCGUAGCCGGCUUUGCAAGUCCCCUGGGAAAUCCAGCGGCUUAACCGUUGGGCUUUCAUGGGAUACUACAUUGCUUGGGACUGGGAGAGGUAGGAGGUACUCAGGGGGUAGGGGUGAAAUCCUGUAAUCCUCUGGGGACCACCGGUGGCGAAGGCGUCCUACCAGAACAGGUCCGACGGUGAGGGACGAAAGCUAGGGGCACGAACCGGAUUAGAUACCCGGGUAGUCCUAGCCGUAAACGAUGCUCGCUAGGUGUCACGGCAGUCGUGAAUUGUCGUGGUGCCGUAGGGAAGCCGUGAAGCGAGCCACUUGGGAAGUACGACCGCAAGGUUGAAACUUAAAGGAAUUGGCGGGGGAGCAC
Molecule: ribosomal RNA, 791 nt
Filed under: uncultured archaeon
Lineage: Archaea
Description: bacterial SSU rRNA
Rfam family: Archaeal small subunit ribosomal RNA
Source: RNAcentral